This 253-nucleotide ribosomal RNA is filed under the name uncultured prokaryote. RNAcentral's name for it is "partial 16S ribosomal RNA". It matches the Rfam family "Bacterial small subunit ribosomal RNA", at positions 524 to 776 of the family's 1533-position model. The record is from RNAcentral.
UACGAAUGGGGCAAGCGUUGUUCGGAAUCACUGGGCUUAAAGCGUGCGUAGGCGGACUUGCAAGUCAGGUGUGAAAUCCCCGGGCUUAACCCGGGAAUUGCUUUUGAAACUGCAAGUCUAGAAGAUUGAAGAGGUUAGCAGAAUUCCGAGUGUAGAGGUGAAAUUCGCAGAUAUUCGGAGGAAUACCAAUGGCGUAGGCAGCUAACUGGGCAAUUUUUGACGCUGAGGCACGAAAGCGUGGGGAGCAAACAGG